GCCCGGAUGGCGGAAUUGGUAGACGCACUGGACUCAAAAUCCAGCGCCCGCAAGGGUGUGCGGGUUCGACCCCCGCUCCGGGUA
This 84-nucleotide transfer RNA is filed under the name Bacteroidota bacterium. RNAcentral's name for it is "Bacteroidetes bacterium (chicken gut metagenome) tRNA-Leu". It matches the Rfam family "tRNA". Rfam says of the family: Transfer RNA (tRNA) molecules are approximately 80 nucleotides in length. Their secondary structure includes four short double-helical elements and three loops (D, anti-codon, and T loops). RNAcentral also lists the same sequence under 1 other name. The record is from RNAcentral. Lineage: Bacteria; Pseudomonadati; Bacteroidota.